AUGUACCACUCGUCCACUCCGGUUCUGAGCGCGCCGUCGGCACCCACCUGACGACUGCUCGCUACGGCUUGUCAGCC
Molecule: small RNA, 77 nt
Filed under: Xanthomonas hortorum
Lineage: Bacteria; Pseudomonadati; Pseudomonadota; Gammaproteobacteria; Lysobacterales; Lysobacteraceae
Also listed under: 4 other names
Description: sX9 sRNA
Rfam family: Xanthomonas sRNA sX9
Source: RNAcentral